UACAAUCUCAAGCCUUGCUUGGUAUUGGGCUUUCGUCUCCCUUGUCUUUGUACAUGUAGUGACGUGCCUGAAAAUCAAUGGCGGUGCCUCAAUAGACUCAAGCGUAGCAGACUGACUCACGCUUUGGAGAAACUGUUGUAGGUUCUGUAUAUAAAAUAACAAU
RNAcentral lists this unclassified non-coding RNA (163 nucleotides) under uncultured Geoglossum. RNAcentral's name for it is "sequence contains ITS2". The record is from RNAcentral. Lineage: Eukaryota; Fungi; Ascomycota; Geoglossomycetes; Geoglossales; Geoglossaceae.